RNAcentral lists this ribosomal RNA (301 nucleotides) under uncultured bacterium. RNAcentral describes it as "partial 16S ribosomal RNA". It matches the Rfam family "Bacterial small subunit ribosomal RNA", at positions 509 to 809 of the family's 1533-position model. The record is from RNAcentral.
CAGUCGCCGCGGUAAUGCGUAGGUGGCAAGCGUUGUCCGGAAUUAUUGGGCGUAAAGCGCGCGCAGGCGGCCUAUCCAGUCUGUCUUAAAAGUUCGGGGCUCAACCCCGUGAUGGGAUGGAAACUAGUAGGCUAGAGUAUCGGAGAGGAAAGCGGAAUUCCUAGUGUAGCGGUGAAAUGCGUAGAUAUUAGGAAGAACACCAGUGGCGAAGGCGACUUUCUGGACGAAAACUGACGCUGAGGCGCGAAAGCCAGGGGAGCGAACGGGAUUAGAUACCCGCGUAGUCCCUGUCUCUUAUACA